CACCUGUUUAUCAAAAACAUUGUAUUAAGUUUAAUUUAAUAUAGGAUCUGCUCAAUGAUUUAUUAAAUAGCUGCAGUAUUUUGACUGUGCAAAGGUAGCAUAAUAAUUAGUCUUUUAAUUGAGGACUUGUAUGAAAGAUUUGAUGAGAAAUAAACUUUAUUAUUUAUAUAAUUAAAAUUUUAUUUUUAAGUAAAAAAGCUUAAAUUAUUUAAAGGGACGAUAAGACCCUAUAAAACUUUAUAAAUAUAAAUUUUAAUUUUUUUGGAUUAUAAAUAUUUUAAUUUUGUUAUUUAUUUUAUUGGGGUGAUAAAAAAAAUUAUUAAACUUUUUUUAAAAUUUUACAUUAUUUAGUGAGUAUUUGAAUUAAAAUUUUUAAUUAUAGGAAAAAGUUACUUUAGGGAUAACAGCGUAAUUAAUUUUUUAAGUUCAAAUUUAAAAAUUAGUUUGCGACCUCGAUGUUGAAUUAAGAUUAAUCUUAGGUGCAAAAUUUUAAGUUUUAGGUCUGUUCGACUUUUAAAAUCU
RNAcentral lists this ribosomal RNA (522 nucleotides) under Sitobion avenae (English grain aphid). RNAcentral's name for it is "partial 16S ribosomal RNA". The record is from RNAcentral. Lineage: Eukaryota; Metazoa; Arthropoda; Insecta; Hemiptera; Aphididae.